UCUUCUAAGGUAAAAGCCAUGGUUUUGAUGUAUGUUACCUUUUUAUCCUUUUUUCUUCUUCUUUCUGAAAUUAAAUUUGCAUCUGUUGUUUUGUCAAAAGGAAAAGUAACCCCCAAUCAUCAUAUAGCAAAAUGUUAAAUAUGCAGAAUAUUGUUUGUUCUUUUAUGUACAUGAAUAUUGUUUAUGCUUAUUUGUACUUUAAGAUGAAUUUUGUUUGGGAUUGGCUUUUUGUUUUUUCAGGUUUAACUUGAUUGUUUGGUGGAACAAAAGUAGACAUGACUACAAAUCGGAGUUUCCUAUAAGAUAUAAUUUGGCUCCGACUAAUUUAAAUUUGUGUUGUUUAAGAUUCUUCUUAUUUUGGUUUCCCAUCCGGUGUCCUGUGUCCGCAUUGGAGCCCCGACUAAUCCGGAUCGUGCGUUGCAAGGCCCAUUAAGGUGGCAGCGCUCCCAACAGAGUUUUCUCCAUACCCAGGAUCAAACCCUCGAUGUGUUGUAUAAGAUUCAUUAAAGAGAGACACACUCUCAAUAUUUGUAGGAAUAACAACCCUGGACCACAUUUCGACCCUAUCUUUAAGACGUAGCCAAUGUCAUGCAGCUUCAAAUUCAAUCAGAACUCUGCAACAAAUGCUAUUUUUCAAUUUAAAAUUGUUAAUUGUGAUUUUUUUCAAUAAAUCUUCAAAGCUCAAAUUCAAAAUGUAUGACUGAGGAUGAAGGGAUAUAAUCCAUCCACUCUGAUCUUGGGCUAUGGCUAGUACAUUAUUUAUUUAUUUAUUUAUUUGUCAUGACAACUCCUUGUUUCCUAACCUAUUAGUUUUUCUGGGGCCAAUUUGUUGUUUUCUUUUUGGUUCUUGAGUCUUAGUUAUUCAAGAAUAUUUAGUUACAACAACCCCCAUCUUCCAUUAACC
RNAcentral lists this long non-coding RNA (904 nucleotides) under Capsicum annuum. RNAcentral's name for it is "long non-coding RNA (CANN_LNC015242)". The record is from RNAcentral. Lineage: Eukaryota; Viridiplantae; Streptophyta; Magnoliopsida; Solanales; Solanaceae.